This 253-nucleotide ribosomal RNA is filed under the name uncultured prokaryote. Its description in RNAcentral is "partial 16S ribosomal RNA". It matches the Rfam family "Bacterial small subunit ribosomal RNA", at positions 524 to 776 of the family's 1533-position model. The record is from RNAcentral.
GACGUAGGGGGCCAGCGUUGUUCGGAAUUACUGGGUGUAAAGGGUUCGUAGGCGGUGCGGCAAGUUGGGAGUGAAAUCCCUCGGCUUAACUGAGGACGUGCGGAAGAAACUGCAAGGCUCGAGUCCGGGAGAGGGGGGUGGAAUUCCCAGUGUAGCGGUGAAAUGCGUAGAUAUUGGGAGGAACACCGGUGGCGAAGGCGGCCCCCUGGACCGGUACUGACGCUGAGGCGCGAAAGCGUGGGUAGCAAACGGG